GAUGAACGCUGGCGGCGUGCCUAAUACAUGCAAGUCGAGCGAACACACGAGGUGCUGCCUCCUCUGACGUUAGCGGCGGACGGGUGAUUAACACGUGGAUAACCUACCUAUAGGACUGGGAUAACUUCGGGAAACCUGAGCUAAUACCGGAUAAUAUAUUGAACCGCAUGGUUCAAUAGUGAAAGACGGUUUUGCUGGCACUUAUAGAUGAAUCCGCGCCGCAUUAGCUAGUUGGUAAGGUAACGGCUUACCAAGGCGACGAUGCGUAGCCGACCUGAGAGGGUGAUCGGCCACACUGGAACUGAGACACGGUCCAGACUCCUACGGGAGGCAGCAGUAGGGAAUCUUACGCAAUGGGCGAAAGCCUGACGGAGCAACGCCGCGUGAGUGAUGAAGGUCUUCGGAUCGUAAAACGCUGUUAUUAGGGAAGAACAAAUGUGUAAGUAACUAUGCACGUCAUGACGGUACCUAAACAGAAAGCCACGGCUAACUACGUG
This 497-nucleotide ribosomal RNA is filed under the name uncultured bacterium. RNAcentral's name for it is "partial 16S ribosomal RNA". It matches the Rfam family "Bacterial small subunit ribosomal RNA", at positions 28 to 507 of the family's 1533-position model. The record is from RNAcentral.